AGAGUUUGAUCAUGGCUCAGAACGAACGCUGGCGGCGUGCUUAAUACAUGCAAGUCGAACGUGAAGCCCGGGCAACUGGGUGGAAAGUGGCGAACGGGUGAGUAACACGUAAGUAAUCUACCUCUAAGUUUGGGAUAACCCUGCCAACGCGGGGCUAAUACCGGAUGUGAUCACUGAAACGCAUGUUUUGGUGAUUAAAGGUGCAAACCGCUUGGAGAUGAGCUUGCGGCCCAUUGUGCUUGUUGGUGAGGUAACGGCUCACCAAGGCUGCGAUGGGUAGCCGGCCUGAGAGGGCGUACGGCCACAUUGGGACUGAGAUACGGCCCAGACUCCUACGGGAGGCAGCAGUAGGGAAUUUUGCACAAUGGACGAAAGUCUGAUGCAGCAACGCCGCGUGAAGGAUGAAGGUUCUCGGAUUGUAAACUUCUGUUGAGUGGGAAGAAAAGCCCGCAAGGGUAUGACGGUACCACUUGAGUAAGCACCGGCUAACUACGUGCCAGCAGCCGCGGUAAUACGUAGGGUGCAAGCGUUGUUCGGAAUUACUGGGCGUAAAGGGAGUGUAGGCGGGACCAUAAGUUAGGAGUUUAAUCCACCGGCUCAACCGGUGAUCGGCUUUUAAUACUGUGGUUCUUGAGUAUGGGAGAGGGUGAUGGAAUUCCAGGUGUAGCGGUGGAAUGCGUAGAUAUCUGGAAGAACACCAGUAGCGAAGGCGGUCGCCUGGCCCAAUACUGACGCUGAGGCUCGAAAGCUAGGGGAGCAAACAGGAUUAGAUACCCUGGUAGUCC
Molecule: ribosomal RNA, 785 nt
Filed under: uncultured bacterium
Lineage: Bacteria
Description: bacterial SSU rRNA
Rfam family: Bacterial small subunit ribosomal RNA
Source: RNAcentral